AGAUUGAACGCUGGCGGCAUGCCUUACACAUGCAAGUCGAACGGCAGCACGGGGGCAACCCUGGUGGCGAGUGGCGAACGGGUGAGUAAUGCAUCGGAACGUGCCCAGUAGUGGGGGAUAACUAGUCGAAAGAUUAGCUAAUACCGCAUACGACCUAUGGGUGAAAGCGGGGGAUUCGCAAGAACCUCGCGCUAUCGGAGCGGCCGAUGUCUGAUUAGCUAGUUGCGGGUAAAGCCACCAAGGCGACGAUCAGUAGCUGGUCUGAGAGGACGACCAGCCACACUGGGACUGAGACACGGCCCAGACUCCUACGGGAGGCAGCAGUGGGAAUUUUGGACAAUGGGCGCAAGCCUGAUCCAGCCAUGCCGCGUGCGGGAAGAAGGCCUUCGGUAUAAACCGCUUUUGGCAGGAACGAAACGGCGCGAGCGAAUAUCUCGCGUUAAUGACGGUACCUGCAGAAUAAGCUACCGGCUAACUACGUGCCAGCA
RNAcentral lists this ribosomal RNA (488 nucleotides) under uncultured soil bacterium. RNAcentral's name for it is "bacterial SSU rRNA". It matches the Rfam family "Bacterial small subunit ribosomal RNA", at positions 26 to 513 of the family's 1533-position model. The record is from RNAcentral.